AACGAACGCUGGCGGCAGGCUUAACACAUGCAAGUCGAGCGCCCCGCAAGGGGAGCGGCAGACGGGUGAGUAACGCGUGGGAACGUACCUUUUGGUUCGGAACAACUCCGGGAAACUGGAGCUAAUACCGGAUAAGCCCUAACGGGGAAAGAUUUAUCGCCGAAAGAUCGGCCCGCGUCUGAUUAGCUAGUUGGUGAGGUAACGGCUCACCAAGGCGACGAUCAGUAGCUGGUCUGAGAGGAUGAUCAGCCACACUGGGACUGAGGCACGGCCCAGACUCCUACGGGAGGCAGCAGUGGGGAAUAUUGGACAAUGGGCGCAAGCCUGAUCCAGCCAUGCCGCGUGAGUGAUGAAGGCCUUAGGGUUGUAAAGCUCUUUUGUCCGGGAAGAUAAUGACUGUACCGGAAGAAUAAGCCCCGGCUAACUUCGUG
Molecule: ribosomal RNA, 431 nt
Filed under: uncultured bacterium
Lineage: Bacteria
Description: partial 16S ribosomal RNA
Rfam family: Bacterial small subunit ribosomal RNA
Source: RNAcentral